AUUUGUUUACUUCUCUUCAUCGUAUGAUUCUUUCGCCUUUUACUAAAGAAUUCCGUGGAGGGGAGCAUUUCAAUGAGUCUUAAGAUAUUUUUCUGCAUCUGACUUUGGUCAUGA
The sequence is a small nuclear RNA, 114 nucleotides long. Its record names the gene U5. It matches the Rfam family "U5 spliceosomal RNA". From Rfam's summary of the family: U5 RNA is a component of both types of known spliceosome. The precise function of this molecule is unknown, though it is known that the 5' loop is required for splice site selection and p220 binding, and that both the 3' stem-loop and the Sm site are important for Sm protein binding and cap methylation. The record is from Ensembl.